RNAcentral lists this transfer RNA (69 nucleotides) under Rattus norvegicus (Norway rat). It matches the Rfam family "tRNA". Rfam says of the family: Transfer RNA (tRNA) molecules are approximately 80 nucleotides in length. Their secondary structure includes four short double-helical elements and three loops (D, anti-codon, and T loops). Lineage: Eukaryota; Metazoa; Chordata; Mammalia; Rodentia; Muridae. The record is from Rfam by way of RNAcentral. RNAcentral also lists the same sequence under 1 other name.
GGGGAUUUAGCUCAGUGGUAGAGUGCUUGCCUAGCAAGCACAAGGCCCUGGGUUCGAUCCUCAGCUCUG